AGCGAACGCUGGCGGCAGGCUUAACACAUGCGAGUCGAGCGCCCCGCCAGGGGAGCGGCCGACGGGAGAGUAACACGUGGGAACAUACCUUUUGGUUCGGAACAACUGAGGGAAACUUCAGCUAAUACCGGAUAAGCCCUUACGGGGAAAGAUUUAUCGCCGAAAGAUUGGCCCGCGUCUGAUUAGCUAGUUGGUGAGGUAACGGCUCACCAAGGCGACGAUCAGUAGCUGGUCUGAGAGGAUGAUCAGCCUCACUGGGACUGAGACACGGCCCAGACUCCUACGGGAGGCAGCAGUGGGGAAUAUUGGACAAUGGGGGCAACCCUGAUCCAGCCAUGCCGCGUGAGUGAUGAAGGCCUUAGGGUUGUAAAGCUCUUUUGCCCGGGAAGAUAAUGACGGUACCGGGAGAAUAAGCCCCGGCUAACUUCGUG
This 431-nucleotide ribosomal RNA is filed under the name uncultured bacterium. Its description in RNAcentral is "partial 16S ribosomal RNA". It matches the Rfam family "Bacterial small subunit ribosomal RNA", at positions 29 to 507 of the family's 1533-position model. The record is from RNAcentral.